Lonchura striata (white-rumped munia) is the source of this 135-nucleotide non-coding RNA. The record is from RefSeq and is a predicted model, not a curated record. Lineage: Eukaryota; Metazoa; Chordata; Aves; Passeriformes; Estrildidae.
AUUGAGGACACAGAAUAUUCCUUUAAAAGCUCUGUCCUGGACUAUGAGGAGAGGAGCAGCUCCACGAAUCCUGAGGGCCCAUCCCACCACCAGCCAUACUGGGAUGAGACAAGGUUUCUGGACUCAGCCAGCCUC